RNAcentral lists this long non-coding RNA (14785 nucleotides) under Fragaria vesca (wild strawberry). Its description in RNAcentral is "long non-coding RNA (FVES_LNC002129)". The record is from RNAcentral. Lineage: Eukaryota; Viridiplantae; Streptophyta; Magnoliopsida; Rosales; Rosaceae.
GAGAGAGAGAGAGAGAGGGAGACGGGUUUGAGCCUUGGACACUGGACUAAAAGAAUCGGGCCCAAAUAAGUGGGCCGAACUGAAAUGUAUUUUCAUAAAAUCACAAUGAAGGAAAAGGGUCAAGUUGUUAUCAUCAGGAAUCAAAUUUUAGUUCAAAGCCUCCAACGAGACGAAGCCCGUUUAAACUGUGACUGACAAAAACACUGAAAAUUUUUGUAUGCACGACGUGUAUUUACACGAUACGAUCUUAACCGUUUAUAACAAUUCAUAUGUUUGAUCACCAUAUUUCUAUAUUAUUUCAUCUAAUCAUAACCAUUCAUAUAUGUAUGUAAAAAUACACGCCGUGUACUGAAUAUGUUCUUAAAAAACACCGAUCAAUAAUAGUAAACCGGGUAUGGUCAAGAAUAUAUGAAGAAUCAAAGACCUUCAAAUAUGGAGAGAAUGCGGCACAUGGAGUUUUUAAACACCUUAAUGAUUGACCUUAAACCAUGUGCAUGCCUCUAAUUAGUUAAUUCUUAAUUGAAUUCCAUGCAUUGCCGAAUGGCAAAGAAAUUAGAAUGAAAUCAAUAAAACCCAUGCUACAUAUCUAAUUAUCUAUAUAUUGUGAACUCGAAACUCGAAUCCUAUAUAUUAUAAUAUCCUAUGCAAUUAGACCAACUUUAUAUUGAAUCAAAUUGAGACCAUACGUAUACAUGUUGUAGCGCUGUAUGGCAAAAGUCAUAAGUGUCACAUUAGCUAGGGUGGAAGUUAAUUAAACAAACAAAUGAAAAUGGUGCAUAUGCAAAGUUGUGCAAUGAGAAUUCUUCUUGUUUAAUUUCUGGUAAUGGCCAUUUUGUCGGGCAAAUGAUUAAAGCAUGUCAAAGGCAUACUCACUCUUGCCACUUGCGAACAUUUCAUAUAUUUCAACUUACUUACUACAAGUGACAAUUCACAAUUCCACUUAAUCUUCAUCAUUCAAAUGACAGACAUAACCAAAGACAUUAAUUCCGUUUUUCAUUUAUUGAAACUUAAUUUUGAUAUGAAGAAAGACAAUUCCACUUAAUCUUCAUCAUUCAAAUGACAGACAUAACCAAAGACAUUAAUUCCGUUUUUCAUUUAUUGAAGAGAAAUUUUAAAUACACACCCCUAAUAUCUUAAUACACAUCAUUUACUUAAUACACCACCUAUCAAAUUUUUCAUUUCAGUAUUAUACUUAAUACACAUCCCAAACUGCUUAAAAUGUCCUUAAUUUAUGAAAUAUUUCGUUAUUUAAUAUAAUUAAUAUAUAUUUACUAUUUGGUAUCUCUUUUUACAUAUUAUUUCGUCUAAUUUUUGCUAUCAUCGUUCAAUUUAUAAUCAAAUGAUUAUUGUUAUAUCCCAACUCUAAAUCACCAAUACAAGUUUUCAAAAUUCACAAGCUAGUACAACUGUAGAAGUACAGUAGCUAUUAAACAUAGAUAGCUAGUUAUUCGAUAAAACAUGUCAUGAUAAAGAUGUAGUACUUAACAAUAUGAUCUACAUGAUCAAAUUAAAGCUGAUAAAGAUACAGUAUUUGAAAAUAUGAUCUGUAAGAUCAAACUAAAGCUGAUACGGAUACAAAAAAAAUAAAUAUAUAUAUAUAUAUAUACAACCCAAAUGAAUUGUGGAGAAGAAUUGAGGUUAAGGGAGAAGACGUGCUUUCAACGAUUUUAGGGUAGAAGAUGUUGGAAAUAAUACUUCUAGUGCGAUUUUUUUUUUUAAUAAUAGAUAUAUGUUUUGGUCAUUUAGCUUACCUAUAAAAUCUCAAUAGAAACAUAAAAUAAUAGGGGUGUGUAUUAAGAGAUUAGAGGUGUGUAUUUAAAAUUUCUCUUUAUUGAAACUUAAUUUUGAUAUGAAGAAAGUAUCGACUGGUAACGUGACGAUAUAUAGUAACUGAUCUAUGUAUAGAUAUACAAUUAUUCAUAUACAGAGUGAAACUUCGUUUUUGAAAUUAAAGUGCGAAGUUUUUUAUUUUACUCAUUUUCAGUAGCAUUUCAUAGUAACAACAGCAGAAUAAAUGAAUGAAAUAUAAAUCGAUCGAAUGACUCAAAUGGCGCAACAAAUUCAAGAUUAAAAAAAUUGGUUCAUUUUCAAUAGUCACGGGUAUAGAUGUAUGUCUCUCAGUCUUUGUCCAGUUUUUGUUGUCCUUGCAAAAAUCCAACGCAGUGUGAAAUGUCAAUGGGGGGAAAAAUUAAAGGUGGACACCAAGCUAGGGCACGCAGUCAAGUAGUCUCUCUCUCUCUCUCUCUCUCUUAACAUCUACAAUACUAUAGGACAUGCAUAUCAUUAGGACCACCUGUAUUUUCUGGGUCCAAGCUCCUCCGACCCGGCCGUCCUUGAUUACCAACAACGAUAUAUGAUCGUAUCCUCCAUAUAUAGCUUCACUCUCGCAGUACAAACGUUUCUGCUUGGCCUUUGGGGAGACUUGGACAAACCUCCUCGUGUUUUGUUUGAUUUCGGUAAAGAGCCGACAAUCACUCCCUACCUGAUUGAGGACCUGUGAUCAUCAAUCAUGCUUGAUCGAUCGAUCUGAACCCCACCACUGUCCUCGAUUUUAUCUCAUUGUUUAAUUCUGGGUUGAGAUACUUGUGGUUUUUUCUGGUAUAUGCAAUUAUAAUCUACAUUAUCAUCAGAGUUCGGUAUGAUCCUAACAUAAUGAUUAAAGAGAUAGAUAUGGAUGUAAGGAUUAUGAGUGGGAUGGAAUGAUGGAUCAAGUGUAAUUAUGAUGAGUAUCGGAGAUCAGUAUUACUGUUUUAUAGAUCGAUUGAUGACAAUGAUUUUUCUUCAGUUCCUUUGUUUUAAUACAUCCCAUAUACGAGAUCGACGUUUUAUUUGUUUUAUUAAUCCUGAAAAGAUCGAUGAUGCAUCAUAUGAUUAUUAAUUGUAAGAAUAUUGGUGGAAAAAUAGAACUUCAUUUAAUCUUCCGGAAACUCUACAAUAUAUAUUUAAAGGAUAUCAUUCGCGGUGUUUUGCCUGAAAAUUUCUUGCAUUCGAGAUAAAGGCUGGAUAAGAAACUUAACAAAGAAGGAUGAGAUCGAUCUUCCUUUCUCAGUUUUGCAGUAGCCAGAUAUAUAGGACAAAGGAUUGUCGUCCCCAUUGUUACGAGCAAAAUCCACAAAAAAACAAGUGAUGAGCUAGAUGUGAUGUGGUUGCUGUUUUCAAACCUAGAUAGAUUUGAGUCUGAACCUAGAUAUAUAACUGAGAGUAGUUUCAACUUUCAAACUACAAGCCACCCCUAGACAGAAAUUAAGUUGUUGACAAAUUACGUAUGAAUGUGGUUGUUGAAAAGGCUACCAGGAUGCCAAUUGCGAAAGUCCCAUUCCCAAGCUAGCUAGCUGCAAAGAAUUCAUGGCAGAUUUAAAUGGUGCUCAAGAUCAAGGUGUAUAAGACUCUGUGCUGCAUGUAUUAAACAAAGAGGAGAGACCAGGGGAGUUGAAUUCUUUAUCCAUCCCAAACCAUCAAGGCAUUCAUGUUUCCAUGACCCCAAAUUGGUCAAAAGAUAUUCCCAAUUAAACCCCGGCCCUUGAUCAGGGUAUGGUAACUGUGGUUGAUAGAUAGAGCAAGUCAGCAAGGCACAUCUCCCUCUCAGAAGCUAAUACCUUUUAUUUUCUUUUGUUUUCUUCCCAUCAUCACUUACUUGCUCUUAACUCUUCAAAUUGAUUGUGUCAACCACCUUGGUUGGUUGGUUAGUUGCACUAUGAAGUUGGAUAAGUUAAGGAGAUUUUAUCAUCUUCUUCUUAAAUAAGUGUAUACAGGUUAAAUGUAUUAUUUCACAUCAUGUUCGUGUUAUAUGUAUUAGAGUUUUUUUUCUAAUGGUUUAUGUUAUUAGAUUCUCAAUUUAAACAAUUACAUGUACAUACGGUUUAUUAUUAUUUUAAAAUACUUGAGGAACCACUAUGCAUGAUACCAUAAUAAAUAAUGGAUAAGCGUUAUGUAGCACCGGUGAAAUAUCACUUAUGUAGCAUUAUCCGCGAGUCCACAACAAUCUCAUUCGGAAUUUGAAAAACUUGAGAGGAGAAAGGUAUAGAGCUGCCCAAUUUGGAGGCCGGGUUCGAUCUAGACCCCAAUAGAGCACGCUUGGAAAAUACAACGCAGUUCCCGGGGAUGGUCUCAGGCGUGAGAGCAAAGGCUGGCAAAACCCCACCGGCAGCCCUAAACCCCAUAUGUCCCAGCCACUAAGUUUUUACUUUUCUGCACUCCUAAACUUACCAUGCACUUCUUUUAACCAGCUCCAUACAGAAUCUCAUAAUUACCACAUUAUAAAACCACACCCACAGAAGCUUCCCUUUCGCUUUGAAUUUGAAUUUCCCCAUUUUUUGACGAACUGGGUUGUCAAGGCUUGGACCAUUUGGUGUGGCAUUAUAUAUAAAUAAAACCAUACUUUGGUCAUUAAGCUUCGAUUAGAUAAUUUGUCUCCUGGUGUAAGCACAAAAGUCAUUAUCCCAAUGAGCACCAAACUCUGUGCAAACCUGCUUGAUUAGUAGUGCCUAAGAUGAAAUUAGGGUUUACAGAGCUAGAGUACAAGAAGAUAAUAAUCAAAACUAGAAGGUUGUCGUUUUACUAGUUUUAAUUUCAGAGCUUUUUUAGAUGCAUUCUCCCUUUCUUCUUCGUCUAGCUAGCUAGUAUCCAAGUAAUCCAACUGUCCAUUCUCUUUCUAUUCUUCUAUUCUAUCCCCUCCUAUAUACCUCGAUCAAACUUCUAUAAGAGAUUCCACUUCGCUUUGUCCCCUUUACCAUUUUCAAAACUAGAAUAUAUAGUACAAUAUAUAAAACGAUGAUAUUUUACAUAAUUUUUAAUUGUCAAGAUUAAUUACUAGCUAAUACGAUCGAGAUUAAUUACAUACACGAUUCACAGAACUGAAUUCCACAUUUUGAUAACAGACCCCAACUGUAAAUAACAAUUAAAGGCCAUUCAUCAUUCCGUUUUGAUCAAUUCUGAAGUACACGCAAAAGGAUCGAGUCUCAUGUGCAAAUUAAACCCUGGCUGUGCUAGCUGACCGUGGUCCAAACGUAUGAUUGUUCUUAACAUUUCCCAGACUUUCAUUAUAAGAACUGCAAAAAAUACCCAUAUAGGUGGAGCUUUUGCGCAGAAAUGAUCAUGAGAAACAAAACUAGGGUUCAGUUUGUUCAGAUAUAUAUAUAUAUAUAUAUAUAUAUAGCUCGAUCGUUUGUCUCAUUGCAAAACUUAUUAAACCUCACCAAGAACUGUACGAAGGGGAGUUAUUGUUUCUUGAAUUUCAAGGAGCAACAAAUUUAACCCAUUCAGCGAUUCAGGGUUAAGAUGUCAGAGCAAGGUCUUUAUUAGAAAAUGACUGGACUUGAAUUAGACUUAAUCAGACACUCGCCCACAGGGUGUCUAUUUUCAAAUGAAUGCAAAUAAAAGCUAGCUGUGUCACUGAAACUAAAUUGAGUUUCUGAGUGGCCUUCUCAUUAUGAGCAACAUUCAAACUUCAAGAGCAAAAAAGGGAGACCUAUCUGCCUUUUCUUUCUACAGAACAUCAUUGCAGUGUGGUUUUGUAUGACUCUCCAUCUUGUGGUCUGAAGAUCGAAAGAGAGAAAGAACACAUAUAUACAAUGAAAAACUGAAUAUAUACUACAUUAUACAAUAGAUUUUCUUUCUGUUUAUUAGUUAGAAGAAACAUUUCAUUAAGAAACAAAAAUGUUACAAGCAUGUAACCAAAAAAUAAAUAAAAAAUUUACAAGCAUUAAAAUGACUUAUUACGUACGGCCUUGACACUACAACGCACAUUCGCGAGAUCAUAAAAUAGAGAUAUUUCAGAUGACUUUUCUCUUUUGUUUUAGCGUAUAUAGCUAGCUAGCUUUAUUUUUAUAUUUGCAUGUUUCAGCAUCAACAGAUUUUUGGUCCUAGAGGAUCCUUUGUUUCUUUGUUGUGCUAGGUCAUUAAUUUCUAUGGAAACAACCAAAGAAGGAGAAAACUUUAUGAGAAAAAUAACAAAAAAUCUUUAAUAAGAAUCUCAUCGAAUCGAAAGACAAUGACAUAAAAAUUCUAAAACAUGACUCGAGAUUUCGAUAAUUUAAAUGCAAUUUUGACGUAAUUACUGAAACAUAUAGUAUUUUUUAUAUACGUAAUAUAUAUAUAUAUAUAUACUGUAUCUGUUCAGUACCAUUUAGUCUAGUGACAUCAAUCUUUCGUCUGUAAGUGAGAGGUCGUUAUUGAGUUCGACUCACAAUAUUGAUUCGUUAUAGUAUUUUUCAGUUAUUUGUUUAAUUAAAAAAAAAUACAUUUGAUAAAGAAUGCAUGAAAAUGAAAUAUGGAUCGACCCAUUGUGUGAAGGGCAAAGAUCACAUCACAACCGCAAAAUCAAAACCCAAUAUUAGGGUUUGAAACCUCUCCGUACAAAAUCUAUCCCUAAUUAACCAGAGCAAUCAUAUUGAUCCAAUCAACUCUCUCUAUGACCCAAAGGAUAACAAAACCCCAAAAGACCAUAAUCACCAUGCAACAGUAGUACCCAGCUGGGACGCCUCUCUCUUGACUUCACUCCACCCUCCAUUGAUGGGCUUUGUUUUUUGUUCGAGUCCUCUCCCCUAGCCUUGAAGGAAGAGAAGGGCAUUCCCGUCAUUCCCUCUACCCCUCUACGUAUCCAUGAGUUAGAAAGUCGAAUACACCCAUUUAAUAAACCCCCGCCAUAUCCCUCUCCUCCUCCUCCUCCAUUUCCAUUCCUUUCUUUUCUCCCCAGACUGACUGACUGAGAAAGAAGAAAGAACGACCACAUUCAUCGGAAAACGGGGUCGUAUUGAAGUGAAUGGCGAGCGGAUGGGUCAAGUCGUUGCAGUGCAAGUCUAGGGCAUUCGAUGACGUGUAUCACCCCAGCCCCAAAACAACGCUGAUGAACAGCGUCAGCUGCAGAAAGAGCUUUCAGAACAUCAAAGACGUCGUCGUCGACACAGCAGCCGCCAAGCACCACCACGAUAAGCCCACAAAAUCCAAGCCGCCUCCGUCGAAAAGACACGGGAAGCCAGAACCCGCUUUUCCGAGCCCAGCACCUCGUACCCGGCCGCCCCGAACCCACGACCCGUUUCUGACUGAGCUCCCCGAGGGCCACCCGUCGCGCAAUGUCGUAGAGAUUAUCUUCCACACCAGCUGGAGCCCCAAGGCGUUUUCGGGUCGGAUCGAGAUGAUAUUCAAGGUCCAGAACGGCUCCAAGACGGUGGCGCGGUUCGAGGAGUAUAGGGAAGUCGUCAAGUCUCGUUCCCGGGCCGGGUCGGACGCUGGAUCCCGGAAAGUGGGAUCCGAGUUCGAGGAGGAGAAUGCGCGGUGCGUCGCCGACGGAAACGAGGUCAUGCGUUUCCACUGCCUGGGGACACCAUCUGGCACUGGGGUUCACGACGCGUUCGGUGGCGCGUGGGGCUUCCACAGAGGCAAAGGCUCCGCCAUUUGCACGUUUUCCGGUAGCGGUGUGGCCCACGAGAAUGCGGGCGGGGCGAGGGGCAGGAGAGCCAUGCUGGUUUGCCGGGUCGUUGCGGGUCGGGUCUCGAAGCAGCUGGAGCUCCAAUCGUUGCUGGAUGGCCGGCUUGGGUUUGACUCAGUGAGUGGAGACAACGGGGAGUUGCUAGUGUUUGAUCCACGCGCCGUCUUGCCGUGCUUUCUUAUCAUCUAUAAAUUGUAAAAAUACCAAUGCUCCUUUUUUCUUUUUUUUAUUCGUCUCUUUUAUAUAUUUUGCUUUCUUUGUUGGGGUUGAGCAACCUUUUUUUUCUUGCAUUUAUCACCUCAAUUUUUUCUUUUUUUUCUUGUUUCUGGGUUUGGAGUGAUUAUGGAAAAAUUGAGUUGAUAAAUGCUUAAUUAACCAAUUCUCUAUUUUAUUAUCUGUGAAUGAAUGCAAAUUACCGUUUUAAUGAAUGUAAGUAAUGGAUUUUUAUGAUGGUUUUCAAAAUUUCACAAACGUCCACAUGAAGUCAUAGAGAAUCAUUUUAGUAGUACCUAAUGUUUAGAGUACAGGUGGUUCAUGUUUAUAAUUGGAGCUAUGAUGCUAGCAAAAGGGUGAGAAAGUUUGAAAUCUAAGUAAGCUACAUAUUGUCUUCUAGCAAUCACCAACAAACAUAAUAAUGAUAAUUAUGGUGUGGUGAGCAUGUUUAACACUCUUAACAGUGGCAGAAGGUGGUUUGGAAAUGAUCGAGAUACGUACAUAUAUGGGAGUUUCAUACUUUCAUUUUCAUGUUUGAUUCGUAUACUUUGUGAAUAAUACAUAUCGUCGGUUUCCAUUUUGCAUUGCAUAUAUUGAGCCAUUGAUUUCAGUUUCAUUCAACCUUGAAAUGUUUGAUGAUAUGAACUGUUCAAGAACUAGGCACAUCAAAGUUCCCAGCUAUCACAUACUACACCUGUUUUUGCAUUUCCGUAUUAAGUUUUCCUAAUUUAGUGUGACUAGUAAGAAAUUGGCAUAGACCAAGUUAACUUCUUGACAAUGGGGUUCCAACAACAAAUACAAUAUACUUGAAAUUUACGUUAACAGAACAAUAGUAAUUCACAAUGACUUUCGAUUAAUAUAAUGACAUAAUUUUUCUAGGUGUGAUCGAGCUUAAAGCUCUUCCCGAUCACCCCCAAUGAAUUUCAUGUUCGACUAUAGCAGUAGAGGUUGUCUUUCGUAUUAUCUUUCUGAGGCAGUUGGGCUGCGCCAGCAAAAAGCAGAUGUCUCCCAUCACAUCAAAAUAUGAAUUUGCAGUAGACGAUUUUCAGUGACAUUUCACAAUCUAUAUAUUGAUUCUGAGUUGCACACCCAGUACUGGUUUUAAUUCUGAGAGUCUUGCAUACUGGCUACUACUUCCAUCUACAACAACGCACUAGUAAAGUCUUCUCCAAUUAAUUUCCUUACCAACAUCGAGCUAGCUGUGGUAAAAUAUGUUUUACACAAUACAGAGAAUCCAUAAGCAUUCUACUGUCAUACUAUAAUGUCACAAAUCCCGGAUGCCCCUUUUGUGAUGGAAAUGUUGUGUAUAAACAACUGCCUGCAAACCCUAAACAUCUCUGUUGAUAUUCGACUGAAAAAGAUCGAUAAUAUGAAUGAAAAGCCCUGAAUCGCCUCAGACCCCGGAUACUAUCGGGUCUGCCAGUUGAGGGUUGGAGCAUGAAAAGCCAAGCAAUUGAAAAUCGUUUUAGUGCUUUUCUCCAGUAGUACAGGAUUAGUUUAGUCGCUGGCUGUUAGAUACCACAUUAAAUUUCUGUUGUAGAAGUUUAAAAAGUUUUAAGAUAGUUAGAAGUAGGAGAGUCGCUCUCAGCUAGCUGCCCAGGUUUUUGGUUUAAGUUUGAGAAAAUACAGCACAAGUCACGCAAUUGCUGCCACAAGACCUUUACUUGUCUUGGAAGAAAAUAAAAGUUUGAUUAAUGUGGUGAAUGGUCUCAAUCUAUGACGGGAGGCUUAUGCCCCAUAAAUUCAAUUCCGAUUACCAGAAACUCUUGCCAUAUCUAGAUACACCAGAAAGAAAAGGAAAGGAAAACUCUCUAGGAAGUAAGACCAAUUAAAGGAAAAGAAAAUUUGUCUUGAAAUAACUGGAUUUUGGAAAGUUCCAAGGAGAACGAAAAGCGGAUUCUAUGAGCUUAAAAUGAACUCCUUACCUGUUACCAAUAAACAUAGCACCCAUCUCUUUCUUCCCAACCCUAAUUGAAGUUUACAACACAGACACCUACCUCUUCCUCUCACUAUCUAGUUAACAAAAACUGUUCGUUUUCAUUUCUUACGAUCAAUGAAGCAACAAAUCAUCGCGUACAAUGAUCAUACAAACUAGCAUUACAACGCCUCUGUAUACAUGAUCUGUUUUGGAAACCAGAAUCACAGAAUUAGGCAGUUCAGGAGCCUGCACAUUACGGACUUGCCAGUUAUACUCGACUCUAUUUUUUGUUUCGAGUAGCCCAACUUUUAAUGUAAAAAUAAAGUAAUAAACUAAGCCUCGAUGAAGAUUUUCGUGCUAGUACUUAAGGUGAAGGUGAUAUGUCCCUCUCGCUGUAUAAUCAUCUUUCUAUUAUGAAUAAUAUUUGGGCACAAGGCUGAGCCUCCUAGCUAGGCUAGUUCCAAACCCUUAAAAAAAAAAACAGAACUAAGCCAAUGAAAAAUGAUUUAAAAAAAAGAAGGUUAAAACACCAAAUUUAUGUGAAAUAAAUUAGCGAACGAUCUGCAUCAACUACAAACAUUAUACUUGUCAUGUUCAUGUUUAGAAACCAUUGUGUGAUCAAGACAUUGUAGAAGCUAAGACACUGUUGAUUACACAAAAUAAUAUAUAACUUUUGGAUUAAGAUUCAGAUUUUGACACUGGGUUAUGUCAUGAACGCAGAUAAAGUAUCAAAUAUCAGUAUCAGAGCUUAGGCAGUCGGAACCCCCAACUCAAGUUCAGCUUGAAUUUCAGAGGCUGUUUUAACUUUCUGGGAUUUCAAGUCAGACACUCAACCAAUAAAGGUCAGGGUUCGGUGAUUGGAUGAAAUGUUCAUAAUGGUCAAUUAUUCAGGGUUCACAAGACAGACAUUCUCCAGAACCUGAUUAUCCAAAUAAUCAUAAAUCAUCCUUGAUCCUACCAUCCAUGAAAGCUCUCAUCUUGGCACUGUUUUGAGUGCCAGAAUCACCAAGGCACCAUCACUAAAUAUAAAUUCAGUUCUAGGAAAGAAGAAAAAAUGAGACCUACUGCAUUUCUUGAAUCAAGAGCGCUUUCCAUAAUCCAAUGCUCUAUGCGACUAGUACUAAGUAAAAUGAAGGGUCUCAACAACCAUGUUUUUUAGAGACUUGGAAAAUGAAAGAAACAGGAAAUGAGAUAGAAUGGGAUUGGGUAGAUAAAAUCCGAUUCCGGAGAUGAGAGUACCCGGUGAUGUGCCUCUAAUGUACAUUUUUGUCAUGCAGCAUCAUCAUCUCAUGUGACGAAUCUAGUCCUGCCAGAAUUUAGUGGGAUUCCACUAGUACAUACAAUGGUUUGCCAUUCAAUCGCUCACGACCCUGCAACACCAGAAACACAAGUCACUGACACUGCUGGCACACAAAAACAUAGCAAUGAAGAAGAUACUUGGUCAUAUAACAGCGAAAAGCCAAGACCAAAAAAAACAACACACCUGUAAAUCUGGCAACUCAAUAAGGCAGGCACAUUCAACUACUUCUGCUCCAACACGUUCUGAGAUAAAACAUUUUAAUCUUCGCUAAGAGUUACUACCAUCGACAAAUCAAGCAAGUUUAAAAGAUAAGGUAAUAGAUGAAACCAUGCCAGAACAGUAAAAUACACAAAAACAGAGCAAUUAUUUAAUAUGUGUUACACAGUUUAGAAGGUCACUUUAUUCUAACUGGACAACUAAUCCAUCAAACAACAAAGUGCUAAUAAUAGUUAUGCAUUUUAAGACACAGUCGAUCAUAAAAUAAAAAUGCAUGCAUAAUGCAGCAUUCUUUGAACGUGCGCAAUCUUAGAUAUGACUUUUGGAUCGAUCACUUAUCAGAUAUAAAUGCAAUAGAGGCUUUAUUUAUAACCAGGAGAAAACAAAAACAAAAACAAAAAAAAAUACUUCUGUUUAAGAAAAAGUUGUUGAAAAUUUUUAAAUAAUUGCUUACCCAACAAACUCAUUGCAGCACAGAGCGUGCCUCCAGUGGCUAUUAAAUCAUCAACCACAAGAGCACGGUCACCCUGUUCUACUGCUCCGACAUGCAUCUCAAGACGGUCCCUUCCAUAUUCCAACGUGUACUCUUCAAAAAGUACAUCACCUGCCACAAAAAAGCCACACUUUUAUAUAUAUUGAGAGGAAAAAACAUAAGACUUAUAUGAGACUCCUAAUGUGGUCUUAUGGCACAUAAGUGAUGACAUAACUGCAUAUCAGAUUUCCAUAUUAGAACACCAUAUAUAUAUAUAUAUAUAUAUAUUUGUAUGUAUAAGAUUAGUAAUUUUCAAGAGUAUCAUGAUCCAAUUGAGUGGUAUAAAGAAGCUUGGCAGUUCACUGGAGCAAGAAUACCUAGAUCGUCCUUGACCACUUAAAAGAAACAUCUUAAAAUAUAUACAAGCAGCAAAUAUACAGACAAAGACCAGAGAACAGGAAUAGACCAUAGCGCUACAAUGAAACAACAUAAAUCAUCCAGGCUUCUGACUUGCUUCAUAUCAGGUAAACUACAAACACUAUUGAGCUCAUCUUGCAUCAAAGGACCAAUUCAUUGGCAUUAUGGCCACAUCCACUUGUAUACUCGGUAAGAAAGGGUAAACUCUUGUAUCUUAUGAAUGAUAGGCAAGAGCAAGUUAACCGAGCAGAAGUAUUUUGCACUUGAUCACAAAUUGCUUAGGAUCUAUAUAUCAGCAAGGAGCAUCUGAAAGGCAUACAAGUGCACCAUUUCAAGAUCAUCAACAGCUUUAUAUUGACAAACGACAGAACAAUUGCUUCCUAUAUGAACUCAAUCGUACAGACAUUAUGUUCAUACAAACAUACCAAGAGGUGUGAUAGUAAAAUUAAAACUCACCAGGCAAUUUCCUUGGUUUUCUCAGGGGAACAAACUUUGCUCCAAUUGCCAAUGCAAUGGGAGGACCAAAAAUGAAACCUCGAGCCUCAAUUCCUGGAAUAAACAAGAACCACAAUUUGAGAAUGCUGAAUGGGGUACAGCAAAUGUUUUUGGCAAUACAUAUACUUGAGACUUCAAACAACACAUAUAAGUGAUACAUCAGACAGACCUUCUAAUUUUGAUGCUCACAAACAUGAAUUACUGAUAAAUAUAAACAGAAAAGAUCAUUCAGGAAGUUAAGGUCAUCACUGAAUGAUAGUAGCACACUGAUAGCAGGGUUCAAUUUUCAAAACCAAUACAAUGUGGCAAAAAAGCUAAAAGUUAGAAUGCUGAAAAAGGUUUAUCCCAAUAACUCUAAAAAGGUCCUGAAGCAUAAUUACAAUGUUAAUCAUGUGAGCAGACCAGUAAAACUUCACCAGCAAAGUAAGUCAAGAUGUAUCAUCCGCCUAUUGAUUGCAGGCAAAGGAAAAAACGAAUGUCACUUUAAACAUGCAAAUCAGGUUAAAAAAGAAAAUACACAGUUACUGCAUCCCUCUCACAGAUUUUAUUAGUGUCUCCUACGAUACAAUUAUCUCUGGACGGUGGUCCAACCAUAUUGAGGUCCCCAACAAUGUAUACAUCUUUACCAUCAAAUUUCAAGUUUCCACUACAAUACGAUGAACUCUAUACUGCCAUAUUCAGGUCCCUUACUCGAAAGAAGAAGUAAAAGAGAGGAUAGUAAAAGAGAGGAUUAAAGUUCCACUAGGAUCUAUUCUCAGUCCCCUGGCUCAAGAGAAACAGUUUUCAAGGAUACUACCCAACAAGUACAAAACUACAGAAGAAAAGCAAAAUGAAAAGGCAUUUUGAACAGAAUCCCAGUGCAAAAACAACACGGAUCAUGAAUUGUUUCCAAGACAAAUCUGGAGGAAAAAGGUCGUUAACAUAUACAAGUUCUACUCUUCAAAAUUUGGGCAAGUAAUUGCUUUUACGUCAAACUACCAAGAUUUGAUUUCAAUUUGACCAAGGAUAACAAAUGUAAACGAAAACUGAUUCUUGAGGUCGCAAAAUAGAGAAUAAACUUUAUUCAACGAUAUAUGCUAUUAUCUUUCCAAGAGGAAACAUCAUAUCUAAUAUUCUAAUCCAUGUAAAGGAAUAAUUUGCAGGAGAUUCCAAACUAGGUAAAAAGGCUUUCAUUAACACAUAAAGACAGCAAAAGUACACAUAAGCGCACAAUUAGAUGGAUCCUAGUGUACAUACAUCAGGAAAAAACAUCCAUAAACAAACUAGAACUAAAUCAUUAAAAAAUUUAAUAUAAUAACUUAGAAUCAAGGCCCAUCUGUAAUGAGAGCACAUUAGAUUUUAAGCUCUGUAGGACCUUGAGGCCUUUAGUAGUAUUUUCCAAUACCUGCUAUAAGCCAUAAAUGCAAAGGAAAGCACGCGUGAUAUAAACAAAUAUUUAACAGAGUCAAUUACGAUCACAUUCUACUCAAGUUUUCUUCAUAAUCAUCACAAAUGUAAUACUUCUCAAGAUUUAAGAUGUUAUCUACAAACACUAUAGUUAUCUUCGAAGGGUCAAAAACAAGAAAUAUUGGAACCUUGUUAUAGUAGAGUCACUAAGUUAUAAUAAUGAACUCCAACAAUCAACAGCAACUCAAGGAAAUAAAGUAAGGGGAGAGCAGCACAGAGAUAAAUAAACAAGGGUCAUCCAACAGCAAAGUUGGAAAGCCAAUUUAUAAUGAAGCCAAAAAUUUGGCCCAAUUCAAAUUGAGGGUCCACUUUUAACAAGGUGGGCAUCGAGCACCAACCACCAUCCGCGCAAAUUGGACAAUGCACAUGCCCUCAAGCGAGAAGAAGAAUAAGAGAGAGAGAGAGAGAGAGAGAGAGAGAGAGAGAGAGAGAGAGAGAGAGAGAGAGAGAGAGAGAGAGAGAGAGAGAGAGAGAGAGAGNNNNNNNNNNNNNNNNNNNNGAGAGAGAGAGAGAGACCAAAUGAGAGGAGGUGAAGAAAUAUAAAAGGAGCUUAAAGAAAAAAAGAAAAAAAGAACUUGAAAGAGAGCUAUCAUCAGUGGCAAAACCCACUAACAGAGCUUACAGUCAAACAAAAAAUCACUCUCCCAAAACCCAGUGUGACUUCCAUUCCAUAAUGUCCCUUAUGACUGUUCAAAAGGACAGCAAGAACUCAAUCAAAAAAAGAAAAGAAAAAACAGACAGCAAGAAACUUAUGCAAUAUAUCAUAUUUCUGCAUCAUUCAAACCUACUUUUCUCGUAAUCAUGGACCCCGCCACCUUCAACUAAUCACUGUUAUAGAAAGUGGCUCAAAAGCUUGGGACUUUAGCUCAAAAUCUUUCACCC